ACAGAGAAACCCUGUCUCAAAAAAAACCAAACCAAAAAAAAAGAAUUUGCCUAUAUUAAAUGUAAAGUUCUCUAAAGACUUUAUUUAUGACCAUGUUUCUGGGAGUUUAAGUUUGUCUUUAACAUUUCUGCAGAAUGUUUUUUACCUUUAACAUUUCUGCAGAAUGUGUUUACUACCUUCAGAUGUGUCUGUAAUUAUCUUAUGUCAAUUUAGAACACAUUUUCCCAAUAAUUUGCCACAGAUAAGAAAGUGAUUGGUUUUCAAUACAUUUUUAAAAUGUAAAUCAUUGAGCUGCAUAGAAUAUUUACCUAGCGUGAUCAAGGCCCUGGCUUCAAACCCCCUAUUCUGCACCUAAAUUACAGGUACAGGUAAGAGUUCUGCUGUAUUAAGUCCUAACUAUCUGUAUCAUAAGAACACUGCUCUUGGGCAGGUGAGAUGGCUCAGUGGGUAAGAGCACCCGACUGCUCUUUUGAAGGUCCGGAGUUCACAUCCCAGCAACCACAUAGUGGCUCACAACCAUCUGUAACAAUAUCUGACGCCCUCUUCUGGAGUGUCUGAAGACAGCCACAGUGUACUUACAUAUAAUAAAUAAAUAAAUCUUAAAAAAAAAAGGGGGGGGUUUUAGGGUUGUCAGGCAGUGGUGGCACAUGCCUUUAAUCCCAGUACUAGGGAGGCAGAGGCAGGAGAAUUUCUGAGUUCGAGGCCAGCCUAGUCUACAGAGUAAGUUCCAGGAGAGCCAGGGAUAUACACAGAGAAAAACAGUCUGGAAAAAAAUCAAAAAAUAAAGUUAAAAAAAAAAAAAAAAAACACUGCUCUUGACUUUAGAGCAUCUAAGUAUUUUUAUAUCUCAGAAGAGGGAAGAUUUCUCUUUGUUGUAUGGUCAUGUGCAACUGUUAACAUGCAUCAAAAGAUGAGGUGUGUGUGGCCCACAGUAGAUCCCUUUAAUCUCAGCAGGAAGAGGCAGGUUCAAGGCUUCAUAGAGCUGUUCGUGACAACCUGAAUUGAUUCCCAAAUCCCACAAGGUAGAAACACAGAACUGACUCCUGAAAGUUGUCUUGUGACCUCCACACGUGCACCCUGGUUCCUAGGGAUCUUGGAUGGGAGUUGGGGAGGGGGGAGAAGCCUGAAAUUCUGUUAUGUGUCAGUUUUUUUCCACACAACAGUAGUUCAGCUUUUGUAAGUAAUUGCCACUUCAUAACACUUCAUAUAACAAGUGUUAAAACUUGUACACAAAGAUAAUAAAAUUGAAAAGGU
This 1254-nucleotide long non-coding RNA is filed under the name Mus musculus (house mouse). RNAcentral's name for it is "long non-coding RNA chr11:80022510-80023764". The record is from RNAcentral. Lineage: Eukaryota; Metazoa; Chordata; Mammalia; Rodentia; Muridae.